RNAcentral lists this unclassified non-coding RNA (318 nucleotides) under uncultured Fusarium. RNAcentral's name for it is "sequence contains ITS1". The stretch from base 1 to 105 matches the Rfam family "5.8S ribosomal RNA", at positions 50 to 154 of the family's 154-position model. The record is from RNAcentral. Lineage: Eukaryota; Fungi; Ascomycota; Sordariomycetes; Hypocreales; Nectriaceae.
GAAACGCGAUAAGUAAUGCGAAUUGCAGAAUUCAGUGAAUCAUCGAAUCUUUGAACGCACAUUGCGCCCGCUAGUAUUCUGGCGGGCAUGCCUGUUCGAGCGUCACUAAGACCACUUGGGCCCCUUAGCCGCCCAGCGUUGGGACUCUGCGGGGCACUACGCCCCCGCAGUUCCUCAAAUGUAGUGGCGGGGCCGGGCCGGACUCCCGGGCGCAGUAUAACUACCUCGCCCUCGGAGACCGCCCGGCGCCAGCCGUAAAACCCCCCCAUAACUCAUAUGGUUGACCUCGAAUCAGGUAGGAAUACCCGCUGAACUUAA